Molecule: unclassified non-coding RNA, 727 nt
Filed under: Hevea brasiliensis (rubber tree)
Lineage: Eukaryota; Viridiplantae; Streptophyta; Magnoliopsida; Malpighiales; Euphorbiaceae
Source: RNAcentral
AAAAUGACUAGUUAAGUUAAUAUUUUAAUCUAACCACUUAUAUUUAUCCUUUCAUGUUUUAUACUUUUCUGAUGUGGGAUUUAUAAUCCCAACAUAGUCUGAUGGUGAUGUGUGCCUGAAACACAGGAAAAUAAGGUGAGGUUGGUAGUUUAUUGGCCAACCACUCCGACGCACAAGUUAGUAAAUGAUUAGGAGAGUUUUGAGAGCCAUGCAUGUAACGUUCAUUAAUAAAUUUAGCAGAGUUAAUGUACCUAACUUGUGUAACUAUUUUGAGAUUUAUAGAUUGAAAACUUGAGCACUAAGGUAGUUCUUGGAAUUUCAAAAUGUUUGGUUAUGAUCCCAAAAUUCUCGACAGGUGUGACCAUUACCAGAUGCAUGUUGUCCACAAAUCUAUCCUUCAUGUUGAGCCAACCUUAGCUAAUGCUCAAUUGGUUCUUUUGGCCAAGCAUUCGAGCCAUCAGAUGCUCAGGAUCUUGAAUGUCAAAUCUAAGCCAUCUUACUGCUCGAACUUAGUCUAUCUUGACUUCUCAGUUCCUUGACCAUUGUAUUGACUCUUUGAUUGAGCCUUUUGAUUAUUUGACUCUUUGAUCAAGUCUUUUGAUCACGUGACUCGUUAUUAGGCAAGUUAUAUCAUUAUCUUGGUACACUAGGGAGUUGAUGAGAUUUCUUUAUUUAUUAUAUUGCUUAUUAUUGAUGUUUACAUGUGUUGUGUACUGUAUAAGCGUAU